RNAcentral lists this ribosomal RNA (432 nucleotides) under uncultured bacterium. RNAcentral describes it as "partial 16S ribosomal RNA". It matches the Rfam family "Bacterial small subunit ribosomal RNA", at positions 29 to 507 of the family's 1533-position model. The record is from RNAcentral.
ACGAACGCUGGCGGCAUGCCUAACACAUGCAAGUCGAACGAGACCUUCGGGUCUAGUGGCGCACGGGUGCGUAACGCGUGGGAACCUGCCCUUAGGUUCGGAAUAACUCCCCGAAAGGGGUGCUAAUACCGGAUAAUGUCUUCGGACCAAAGAUUUAUCGCCUUUGGAUGGGCCCGCGUUGGAUUAGCUAGUUGGUAGGGUAAAAGCCUACCAAGGCGACGAUCCAUAGCUGGUCUGAGAGGAUGAUCAGCCACACUGGGACUGAGACACGGCCCAGACUCCUACGGGAGGCAGCAGUGGGGAAUAUUGGACAAUGGGCGAAAGCCUGAUCCAGCAAUGCCGCGUGAGUGAUGAAGGCCUUAGGGUUGUAAAGCUCUUUUACCCGGGAUGAUAAUGACAGUACCGGGAGAAUAAGCUCCGGCUAACUUCGUG